Molecule: long non-coding RNA, 571 nt
Organism: Chlorocebus sabaeus (green monkey)
Lineage: Eukaryota; Metazoa; Chordata; Mammalia; Primates; Cercopithecidae
Source: RefSeq, a predicted model, not a curated record
CCGCCCCCUCCCCUGGUGCGCCAUCUUUAGUGCUGGCAGCGAGGCUUCUUGGCCCCACACGUUCAACGUUGCUGCUGGAGAGAUUGGGGUUUAUUUUUAACCGACUUACAUGAACGUGACCCCAUUUCCGAGACCUGGCGCCUUUCUCAUCCUAACAACAAACUGGGUGACUUCAACAAGAGAUAUUGAUGCUCUCACGGUUCUGGAGGCCAGAAGGCCAAAUCCAAGUGUCAGCAAAGCCAUGUUCUCUCGAAGACUCUAGGGGAGGAUCUGUUCCAUAUCUUUCUCCCAGCUUCGGAUGGCUCCUGGCAACCCUUGGCAUUCCUUGGCUUGCAGGUGCAUCACUCCAUUCUCUGCCUCCAUCAUCACGUAGCCUUCUCCCGCUGUCUGCAUCUUCACAUGGCAUUCUCCUUAUAAGGACAUCAGUCAUAUUGGAUUAGUGCCCACCCUAAUGACCUCAUCUCAACUUAACUACAUUUGCAAAUAUCCCGUUUCCAAAUAUCACAUUCACCGGUGCCAACGGUUAGGAUUUCAGCACGUUCUGUAGGAGACACACUUCAACCCACAAUUC